Molecule: non-coding RNA, 1462 nt
Organism: Doryrhamphus excisus (bluestripe pipefish)
Lineage: Eukaryota; Metazoa; Chordata; Actinopteri; Syngnathiformes; Syngnathidae
Source: RefSeq, a predicted model, not a curated record
GUAUGUAUGUAUGUAUGUAUGUAUGUAUGUAUGUAUGUAUGUAUAUAUGCACGUAUCCACACAGGUACCACAGUUGGCCUGCAGUUUGGAUGCGACCAGAACCGGCUAACCGACUUGGCCACCAGAACUGCAGUAUGUAUGUCUGCACCCAGCUAACUAACUUGGCCUCUUCAACUGCAGUAUGUAUGUAUGUAUGCACGUAUUCACACAGGUACCACAGUUGGCCUGUUGAACUGCAGUUUGGAUGCAACCAGAACCGGCUAACCGACUUGGCCUGUUGAACUGCAGUAUGUAUGUAUGUAUGUAUGUAUGUUUGCACCCAGCUAACUAACUUGGCCUCUUCAACUGCAGUAUGUAUGUAUGUAUGUAUGCACGUAUCCACACAGGUACCACAGUUGGCCUGCAGUUUGGAUGCGACCAGAACCGGCUAACCGACUUGGCCACCAGAACUGCAGUAUGUAUGUCUGCACCCAGCUAACUAACUUGGCCUCUUCAACUGCAGUAUGUAUGUAUGUAUGUAUGUAUGCACGUAUCCACACAGGUACCACAGUUGGCCUGCAGUUUGGAUGCGACCAGAACCGGCUAACCGACUUGGCCACCAGAACUGCAGUGUGUAUGUAUGUAUGUAUGUUUGCACGUAUCCACACAGGUACCACAGUUGGCCUGUUGAACUGCAGUGUGGAUGCAACCAGAACCAGCUAACUAACUUGGACUCUUGAAGUGCAGUAUUUGUAUGUAUUACGUAUAUAUAUUUAUGUAUUUGUGCACCCAGCUAACUAACCUGUCCUGUUGAACUGCAGUGUGGAUGCAACCAGAACCAGCUAACUCACCUGUCCUGUUGAACUGCAGUUUGGAUGCGACCAGAACCGGCUAACCGACUUGGCCACCAGAACUGCAGUAUGUACCUUUUAAAGACGCGCAAAGAUGGAUACCUUCAUGUGGAGUUGUUUUUAAUCAUCCAUAUUCAUUCAACCACUUAUUUGUUCUUAUCCUUAAGGUAAGAGGUAAGGUAAGGUAAGCCUUUUUACUGGGUAAAAGCACAGACUUUGAAAACUUGCCAUGGGGAUAAACGUUGUCACACAAGUUAACCACUGUAAAAAAACAAAAAAGGCAAACUAUUUAAACGUAAGGUCACACAAGUGUCAAAAGAAUUUAAACACACUCACUGCGCAGUUUGUGUAAAAGGGGAAAAAUUUCUUGUGUAUGGUGUUUUCAAAAAGUAUAACAGAAACUUGUCACAAAUGUAUGAAAUAACUUCUUAACAAGAGCUCUUGUGUGUGUCAAAAUCAAAACAAAAAUCAAAAUGUGCAAACUUCACAAAAGCAAAAGGUGCAAAACAUUGUUGGGACAAGUGUUAAAAGGUUGGUCACACAAGUUAACCACUGUAAAACUGGAACAAAAUGUGUAUACUGUGUCUGAAGGUUUAAAAAAAAUAAAGAGGUCUUGUGUGUGUGUGUGUGUG